Molecule: transfer RNA, 72 nt
Organism: Camelus ferus (Wild Bactrian camel)
Lineage: Eukaryota; Metazoa; Chordata; Mammalia; Artiodactyla; Camelidae
Rfam family: tRNA
About the family: Transfer RNA (tRNA) molecules are approximately 80 nucleotides in length. Their secondary structure includes four short double-helical elements and three loops (D, anti-codon, and T loops). Further hydrogen bonds mediate the characteristic L-shaped molecular structure. tRNAs have two regions of fundamental functional importance: the anti-codon, which is responsible for specific mRNA codon recognition, and the 3' end, to which the tRNAs corresponding amino acid is attached (by aminoacyl-tRNA synthetases). tRNAs cope with the degeneracy of the genetic code in two manners: having more than one tRNA (with a specific anti-codon) for a particular amino acid; and 'wobble' base-pairing, i.e. permitting non-standard base-pairing at the 3rd anti-codon position.
Source: Rfam
GAGGGUAUAGCUCAGUGGUAGAGCGUGUGCUUAGCAUGCACGAGGUCCUGGGUUCAAUCCCCAGUACCUCCA